Molecule: transfer RNA, 71 nt
Filed under: Marmota monax (woodchuck)
Lineage: Eukaryota; Metazoa; Chordata; Mammalia; Rodentia; Sciuridae
Rfam family: tRNA
About the family: Transfer RNA (tRNA) molecules are approximately 80 nucleotides in length.
Source: Rfam by way of RNAcentral
GUGGUUGUAGCUUAGUGGUGGAGCACUUGCCUAGCACGUGUGAGGCACUGGGUUUGAUCCUCAGCACCACA